RNAcentral lists this non-coding RNA (80 nucleotides) under Candidatus Neoanaerotignum tabaqchaliae. RNAcentral describes it as "Cyclic di-GMP-I riboswitch". It matches the Rfam family "c-di-GMP-I riboswitch aptamer", at positions 12 to 83 of the family's 87-position model. From Rfam's summary of the family: GEMM was predicted in a large-scale screen for bacterial structured RNA regulatory elements. Genes associated with GEMM are involved in a diverse array of functions, including chemotaxis regulation, signal transduction, secretion and chitin. The record is from RNAcentral. Lineage: Bacteria; Bacillati; Bacillota; Clostridia.
AUUUUGGCAAAGUUAUUGAAAAAUAACGACGCAAAGCUAUGAGUCUAAGGCUUAUAAGGGCUAUGAUUGUCAAGCUGCAA